UGCAGUGGGUACGGGCAGACUGGAGUGCAGUAGGGGAGACUGGAAUUCCUGGUGUAGCGGUGAAAUGCGCAGAUAUCAGGAGGAACACCGAUGGCGAAGGCAGGUCUCUGGGCUGUUACUGACGCUGAGGAGCGAAAGCAUGGGGAGCGAACAGGAUUAGAUACCCCUGGUAGUCCAUGCCGUAAACGUUGGGCACUAGGUGUGGGGGACAUUCCACGUUUUCCGCGCCGUAGCUAACGCAUUAAGUGCCCCGCCUGGGGAGUACGGCCGCAAGGCUAAAACUCAAAGGAAUUGACGGGGGCCCGCACAAGCGGCGGAGCAUGCGGAUUAAUUCGAUGCAACGCGAAGAACCUUACCAAGGCUUGACAUGGGCCGGAUCGGGCUGGAAACAGUCUUUCCCUUCGGGGCCGGUUCACAGGUGGUGCAUGGUUGUCGUCAGCUCGUGUCGUGAGAUGUUGGGUUAAGUCCCGCAACGAGCGCAACCCUCGUUCCAUGUUGCCAGCGCGUAGUGGCGGGGACUCAUGGGAGACUGCCGGGGUCAACUCGGAGGAAGGUGGGGACGACGUCAAAUCAUCAUGCCCCUUAUGUCUUGGGCUUCACGCAUGCUACAAUGGCCGGUACAAUGGGUUGCGAUACUGUGAGGUGGAGCUAAUCCCAAAAAGCCGGUCUCAGUUCGGAUCGUGGUCUGCAACUCGACCACGUGAAGUCGGAGUCGCUAGUAAUCGCAGAUCAGCAACGCUGCGGUGAAUACGUUCCCGGGCCUUGUACACACCGCCCGUCAAGUCACGAAAGUUGGUAACACCCGAAGCCGGUGGCCUAACCCCCUUUGUGGGGAGGGAGCCGUCGAAGGUGGGACUGGCGAUUGGGACUAAGUCGUAACAAGGUAGCA
This 889-nucleotide ribosomal RNA is filed under the name uncultured Arthrobacter sp. Its description in RNAcentral is "bacterial SSU rRNA". It matches the Rfam family "Bacterial small subunit ribosomal RNA", at positions 622 to 1501 of the family's 1533-position model. The record is from RNAcentral. Lineage: Bacteria; Bacillati; Actinomycetota; Actinomycetes; Micrococcales; Micrococcaceae.